AAAGAGUGCGUAAUAGCUCACUGGUCGAGUGAAUGUGCGCCGAAAAUGUACCGGGGCUAAACCACACACCGAAGUCUUGGGAUUGCGUAAGCAAUCGGUAGGGGAGCAACGAAUACGGGCUGAAGCGGAAUCGUAAGAGACCGUGGACUGUAUUGGAGAGAGAAUGCCGGCAUGAGUAGCGAGAGCAAAGUGAGAAUCUUUGCCGUCGAAAGCCUAAGGUUUCCUGAGGAAGGUUCGUCCUCUCAGGGUAAGUCGGGGCCUAAGCCGAGGACAAAAGUCGUAGGCGAUGGACAACAGGUUGAUAUUCCUGUACCACGACAAUUCGUUUGACUGACGCAGUGACACAGAAGGAUAGGCAGAGCGGGGCGAUGGUAGACCCCGUCCAAGCGGUGAGGCUGGAACGUAGUGAAGUACGCGUUCUAAGGCUGGGCCGUGAUGGGUACCGAAAAUAAGUAGGGAAGCUGUUGAAUUCACGCUGGCAAGAAAAGCUGCUAGGGAGAGUUGUUGUGCCCGUACCGCAAACCGACACAGGUGGGCGAGGAGAGAAUCCUAAGACGAACGGGAGAACCCUUGUUAAGGAACUCGGCAAAAUGACCCCGUAACUUCGGGAGAAGGGGUGCCUCGAAAGAGGCCGCAGAGAAUAGGCCCAAGCGACUGUUUAGCAAAAACACAGGUCUGUGCGAAGUAGAGAUACGACGUAUACGGGCUGACGCCUGCCCAGUGCCGGAAGGUUAAGGGGAAGUGUUAGGGCAACCGAAGCACGGAACUUAAGCCCCGGUGAACGGCGGCCGUAACUAUAACGGUCCUAAGGUAGCGAAAUUCCUUGUCGGGUAAGUUCCGACCCGCACGAAUGGCGUAACGACUUGGGCACUGUCUCAACAAGGGACCCGGCGAAAUUGUAGUAUGUGUGAAGAUGCACAUUACCCGCGACUGGACGGAAAGACCCCGUAGAGCUUUACUGUAGCUUGGCAUUGGAUUUUGGUAACAUAUGCACAGAAUAGGUGGGAGGCUUUGAAGCAGCGACUCCGGUCGUUGUGGAGCCACCUUUGGGAUACCACUCUUGUGUUACUGAGGUUCUAACGAGCGGCCGUGAUCCGGCGUUCGGACAGUGCCAGGUGGGCAGUUUGACUGGGGCGGUCGCCUCCGAAAGAGUAACGGAGGCGUUCAAAGGUUUCCUCAGAAUGGUUGGAAACCAUUCGAAGAGUGCAAAGGCAGAAGGGAGCCUGACUGCGAGACCGACAGGUCGAGCAGAUACGAAAGUAGGACUUAGUGAUCCGGCGGUAUGAGAGUGGAAUUGCCGUCGCUCAACGGAUAAAAGCUACCUCGGGGAUAACAGGCUUAUCUCCCCCAAGAGUCCACAUCGACGGGGAGGUUUGGCACCUCGAUGUCGGCUCGUCGCAUCCUGGGGCUGGAGUAGGUCCCAAGGGUUUGGCUGUUCGCCAAUUAAAGCGGCACGCGAGCUGGGUUCAGAACGUCGUGAGACAGUUCGGUCCCUAUCCAUCGUGGGCGCAGGAGAUUUGAGAGGAGCUGUCCUUAGUACGAGAGGACCGGGAUGGACGCACCAAGGGUGAAUCAGUUGUCGUGCCAACGGCAUAGCUGGGUAGCCACGUGCGGAUCGGAUAAACGCUGAAGGCAUCUAAGCGUGAAGCCGACCUCAAGAUAAGAUCUCCCAUUCGGUUAACGAAGUAAGACCCCUUGUAGACCACAAGGUUGAUAGGUCGGAGGUGGAAGCGCGGUAACGCGCGAAGCUGACCGAUACUAAUCGGUCGAGGGCUUGAUCAA
This 1782-nucleotide ribosomal RNA is filed under the name bioreactor sludge metagenome. Its description in RNAcentral is "bacterial LSU rRNA". It matches the Rfam family "Bacterial large subunit ribosomal RNA", at positions 1125 to 2925 of the family's 2925-position model. The record is from RNAcentral.